AGUGCACGAAGACGCUGUCGGGAGAGCCCAGGAUUCAACACGGGCCUUGAGAAAUGUGAGUAAGGGUGAUGGGCACCCAGGUGGGAGGGAGAAGCCAGGGGAGAAGCCAGGGCAUGGGAGGCAAUUCAGGGAGACAGGAACACCCUUCUCUCUUCACACACCUCAUCAGUUCCACUGUGCACACGCGUGGACACACACAACACACGCCCCAUCCCUCCUCCUAGGGAUCAGAGGAGACUUCAUACAUAGAUGCUCAUGCCAUGGUCCUUUCUUCCCUCUGGGCUCUUGGCAGGGAGCAGCGAGAGGAGGGGACCCCUUGCCCAGGACGGGACACUCUGUGCCUGUGUCCCCCACUCCACAGAUGGUUUCUCCCAGACGCUCUUGCUGAACCUGUGGGAGCCCUUUCAGAGACCCACGGGUGGAAACCCUCACCCUCCAUUAACUGGUCCCAAGCCAGUCCUAUUCCUGGAAGGGGAGGGGAGGGAUGCGUCCGGGCAGGGGAGGAGGCUGGAAAGGGAGUGUGAGGGGAGUGUGGUGGCCUCUGGACUGGACACUGCCCUGGAGAGUGACCCGAUGCAGCAGCUGCACAGGCCAUCCUCCCCACCCACGCACCCCUGCUGAGAACAUGUCUGUGAGGUUCAGGGUGGGCAGAGAGGAGAAUGCCCAGUGGUAUGGCCGUCUCAUCCCCUGCCACAGCCACUGCCCACAUGGCAAGAGUGCUGAACCCCUCCAGCUCCAGAUACUCUCUUUUGUUUUGGCAGGUGGCUCUUGUACCUCCUGGUGCCGGCCCUGUUCUGCAGGGCAGGAGGCUCCAUUCCCAUCCCUCAGAAGUUAUUUGGGGAGGUGACUUCCCCUCUGUUCCCCAAGCCUUACCCCAACAACUUUGAAACAACCACUGUGAUCACAGUCCCCACGGGAUACAGGGUGAAGCUCGUCUUCCAGCAGUUUGACCUGGAGCCUUCUGAAGGCUGCUUCUAUGAUUAUGUCAAGAUCUCUGCUGAUAAGAAAAGCCUGGGGAGGUUCUGUGGGCAACUGGGUUCUCCACUGGGCAACCCCCCGGGAAAGAAGGAAUUUAUGUCCCAAGGGAACAAGAUGCUGCUGACCUUCCACACAGACUUCUCCAACGAGGAGAAUGGGACCAUCAUGUUCUACAAGGGCUUCCUGGCCUACUACCAAGCUGUGGACCUUGAUGAAUGUGCUUCCCGGAGCAAAUCAGGGGAGGAGGAUCCCCAGCCCCAGUGCCAGCACCUGUGUCACAACUACGUUGGAGGCUACUUCUGUUCCUGCCGUCCAGGCUAUGAGCUUCAGAAAGACAGGCAUUCCUGCCAGGCUGAGUGCAGCAGCGAGCUGUACACGGAGGCAUCAGGCUACAUCUCCAGCCUGGAGUACCCUCGGUCCUACCCCCCUGACCUGCGCUGCAACUACAGCAUCCGGGUGGAGCGGGGCCUCACCCUGCAUCUCAAGUUCCUGGAGCCUUUUGAUAUUGAUGACCACCAGCAAGUACACUGCCCCUAUGACCAGCUACAGGUACAGCCGUCCUACCCCUGAAAGACCCCUUCCUCCCCUUCUGUCUGCACUUGGCUCCUCUUGUCCCAACUUCCUCCUGGAUCCCCUGGCCAGCUGGGGCAGGAACGGCCAACAUCACCCAUGGGCUGGGUAAGUUCCCACACAACUAGAAUUGGGUCAUGGGGAUCCCUUUUCACCUUCCCCUGAAAACACACAUAAGGCAGGAUUUCAUCACCACCACCACCACCCUGGCCACCAGGCUCCUACCCAGUUGGCCCUGUGUAAAAACAUCCAAGCUGAAAAAAAAAAAACCCUCCUCCCCUACUAGAUCUAUGCCAACGGGAAGAACAUUGGCGAGUUCUGUGGGAAGCAAAGGCCCCCCGACCUUGACACCAGCAGCAAUGCUGUGGAUCUGCUGUUCUUCACAGAUGAGUCGGGGGACAGCCGGGGCUGGAAGCUGCGCUACACCACCGAGAUCAUCAAGUGCCCCCAGCCCAAGACCCUAGACGAGUUCACCAUCAUCCAGAACCUGCAGCCUCAGUACCAGUUCCGUGACUACUUCAUUGCUACCUGCAAGCAAGGCUACCAGCUCAUAGAGGGGAAACAGGUGCUGCAUUCCUUCACAGCUGUCUGCCAGGAUGAUGGCACGUGGCAUCGUGCCAUGCCCAGAUGCAAGAUCAAGGACUGUGGGCAGCCCCGAAACCUGCCUAAUGGUGACUUCCGUUAUACCACCACAAUGGGAGUGAACACCUACAAGGCCCGUAUCCAGUACUACUGCCAUGAGCCAUAUUACAAGAUGCAGACCAGAGCUGGCAGCAGGGAGUCUGAGCAAGGGGUGUACACCUGCACAGCACAGGGCAUUUGGAAGAAUGAACAGAAGGGAGAGAAGAUUCCUCGGUGCUUGCCAGUGUGUGGGAAGCCCGUGAACCCCGUGGAACAGAGGCAGCGCAUCAUCGGAGGGCAAAAAGCCAAGAUGGGCAACUUCCCCUGGCAGGUGUUCACCAACAUCCACGGGCGCGGGGGCGGGGCCCUGCUGGGCGACCGCUGGAUCCUCACAGCUGCCCACACCCUGUAUCCCAAGGAACACGAAGCGCAAAGCAACGCCUCUUUGGAUGUGUUCCUGGGCCACACAAAUGUGGAAGAGCUCAUGAAGCUAGGAAAUCACCCCAUCCGCAGGGUCAGCGUCCACCCGGACUACCGUCAGGAUGAGUCCUACAAUUUUGAGGGGGACAUCGCCCUGCUGGAGCUGGAAAAUAGUGUCACCCUGGGUCCCAACCUCCUCCCCAUCUGCCUCCCUGACAACGAGACCUUCUACGACCUGGGCUUGAUGGGCUAUGUCAGUGGCUUCGGGGUCAUGGAGGAGAAGAUUGCUCAUGACCUCAGGUUUGUCCGUCUGCCCGUAGCUAAUCCACAGGCCUGUGAGAACUGGCUCCGGGGAAAGAAUAGGAUGGAUGUGUUCUCUCAAAACAUGUUCUGUGCUGGACACCCAUCUCUAAAGCAGGACGCCUGCCAGGGGGAUAGUGGGGGCGUUUUUGCAGUAAGGGACCCGAACACUGAUCGCUGGGUGGCCACGGGCAUCGUGUCCUGGGGCAUCGGGUGCAGCAGGGGCUAUGGCUUCUACACCAAAGUGCUCAACUACGUGGACUGGAUCAAGAAAGAGAUGGAGGAGGAGGACUGAGCCCAGAAUUCACUAGGUUCGAAUCCAGAGAGCGGUGUGGAAAAAAAAAACAAAAAACAACUGACCAGUUGUUGAUAACCACUAAGAGUCUCUAUUAAAAUUACUGAUGCAGAAAGACCGUGUGUGAAAUUCUCUUUCCUGUAGUCCCAUUGAUGUACUUUACCUGAAACAACCCAAAGGGCCCCUUUCUUUCUUCUGAGGAUUGCAGAGGAUAUAGUUAUCAAUCUCUAGUUGUCACUUUCCUCUUCCACUUUGAUACCAUUGGGUCAUUGAAUAUAACUUUUUCCAAAUAAAGUUUUAUGAGAAAUGCCAGUGUG
RNAcentral lists this small RNA (3501 nucleotides) under Pan troglodytes (chimpanzee). RNAcentral describes it as "retained intron". Lineage: Eukaryota; Metazoa; Chordata; Mammalia; Primates; Hominidae. The record is from RNAcentral.